GGGCUACUGACUACGCUCUACACCCUUUGUGACAUACCUAUAACUGUUGCUUCGGCGGGUAGGGUCUCCGUGACCCUCCCGGCCUCCCGCCCCCGGGCGGGUCGGCGCCCGCCGGAGGAUAACCAAACUCUGAUUUAACGACGUUUCUUCUGAGUGGUACAAGCAAAUAAUCAAAACUUUUAACAACGGAUCUCUUGGUUCUGGCAUCGAUGAAGAACGCAGCGAAAUGCGAUAAGUAAUGUGAAUUGCAGAAUUCAGUGAAUCAUCGAAUCUUUGAACGCACAUUGCGCCCGCCAGCAUUCUGGCGGGCAUGCCUGUUCGAGCGUCAUUUCAACCCUCAAGCUCUGCUUGGUGUUGGGGCCCUACAGCUGAUGUAGGCCCUCAAAGGUAGUGGCGGACCCUCCCGGAGCCUCCUUUGCGUAGUAACUUUACGUCUCGCACUGGGAUCCGGAGGGACUCUUGCCGUAAAACCCCCAAUUCUCCAAAGGUUGACCUCGGAUCAGGUAGGAAUACCCGCUGAACUUAAGCAUAUCAAUAGCCGGGAGGAAAC
Molecule: small RNA, 550 nt
Filed under: Colletotrichum asianum
Lineage: Eukaryota; Fungi; Ascomycota; Sordariomycetes; Glomerellales; Glomerellaceae
Description: eukaryotic LSU rRNA
Rfam family: 5.8S ribosomal RNA (bases 175-328)
Source: RNAcentral